This 253-nucleotide ribosomal RNA is filed under the name uncultured bacterium. RNAcentral's name for it is "partial 16S ribosomal RNA". It matches the Rfam family "Bacterial small subunit ribosomal RNA", at positions 524 to 776 of the family's 1533-position model. The record is from RNAcentral.
UACGUGGGGUGCAAGCGUUAAUCGGAAUUACUGGGCGUAAAGCGUGCGCAGGCGGCUUUGCAAGACAGAUGUGAAAUCCCCGGGCUUAACCUGGGAACUGCAUUUGUGACUGCAUGGCUGGAGUGCGGGAGAGGGGGAUGGAAUUCCGCGUGUAGCAGUGAAAUGCGUAGAUAUGCGGAGGAACACCGAUGGCGAAGGCAAUCCCCUGGGCCUGCACUGACGCUCAUGCACGAAAGCGUGGGGAGCAAACAGG